UAUUUAAAGUAUAAUAUAAAAUAUUCAUGACUUUAGCAUUAAGCUGAGCUAUUUUCUUAUCAAGAUCAUCUCAUUCACCUUCCGACUUAGGAAUAGACAUGCCAUCAAUCAAUUUGAUGGGUGUGUGUGGUCUAUUUACUAUGACACUCCAUAUAUCAUCCUCAAGUGGUUGAAUGAAAAUUCUUAUCUGAGCUUUCCAAUAGAUGUCGUUUGAUCCAUUGAAAAGUAAAGGCUGAUUUGUGGAUUGCCCCUC
RNAcentral lists this long non-coding RNA (253 nucleotides) under Elaeis guineensis (African oil palm). Its description in RNAcentral is "long non-coding RNA (EGUI_LNC042571)". Lineage: Eukaryota; Viridiplantae; Streptophyta; Magnoliopsida; Arecales; Arecaceae. The record is from RNAcentral.